ACACGUAGGUGGCGAGCGUUGUCCGGAAUUACUGGGUGUAAAGGGCGCGUAGGCGGGUAAGCAAGUCAUGUGUAAAAACUACCGGCUCAACCGGUAAGGGGCACAUGAAACUGCAUAUCUUGAGUACUGGAGAGGGAAGCGGAAUUCCUAGUGUAGCGGUGAAAUGCGUAGAGAUUAGGAGGAACACCAGUGGCGAAGGCGGCUUUCUGGCCAGUAACUGACGCUGAGGCGCGAAAGCGUGGGGAGCAAACAGGAUUAGAUACCCUGGUAGUCCACGCCGUAAACGAUGGAUACUAGAUGUAGGUGGCGGAUGAACCAUCUGUGCCGUAGUAAACACAAUAAGUAUCCCACCUGGGGAGUACGGCCGCAAGGUUGAA
RNAcentral lists this ribosomal RNA (377 nucleotides) under uncultured bacterium. RNAcentral describes it as "bacterial SSU rRNA". It matches the Rfam family "Bacterial small subunit ribosomal RNA", at positions 523 to 898 of the family's 1533-position model. The record is from RNAcentral.